GUGGGGAAUAUUGGACAAUGGGGGGAACCCUGAUCCAGCCAUGCCGCGUGUGUGAAGAAGGCCUUUUGGUUGUAAAGCACUUUAAGCGAGGAGGAGGCUACCGAGAUUAAUACUCUUGGAUAGUGGACGUUACUCGCAGAAUAAGCACCGGCUAACUCUGUGCCAGCAGCCGCGGUAAUACAGAGGGUGCAAGCGUUAAUCGGAUUUACUGGGCGUAAAGCGCGCGUAGGUGGCCAAUUAAGUCAAAUGUGACAUCCCCGAGCUUAACUUGGGAAUUGCAUUCGAUACUGGUUGGCUAGAGUAUGGGAGAGGAUGGUAGAAUUCCAGGUGUAGCGGUGAAAUGCGUAGAGAUCUGGAGGAAUACCGAUGGCGAAGGCAGCCAUCUGGCCUAAUACUGACACUGAGGUGCGAAAGCAUGGGGAGCAAACAGGAUUAGAAACCCCAGUAGUCC
RNAcentral lists this ribosomal RNA (451 nucleotides) under uncultured bacterium. RNAcentral describes it as "bacterial SSU rRNA". It matches the Rfam family "Bacterial small subunit ribosomal RNA", at positions 354 to 796 of the family's 1533-position model. The record is from RNAcentral.